Molecule: ribosomal RNA, 1520 nt
Filed under: Klebsiella pneumoniae
Lineage: Bacteria; Pseudomonadati; Pseudomonadota; Gammaproteobacteria; Enterobacterales; Enterobacteriaceae
Description: bacterial SSU rRNA
Rfam family: Bacterial small subunit ribosomal RNA
Source: RNAcentral
AGAGUUUGAUCAUGGCUCAGAUUGAACGCUGGCGGCAGGCCUAACACAUGCAAGUCGAGCGGUAGCACAGAGAGCUUGCUCUCGGGUGACGAGCGGCGGACGGGUGAGUAAUGUCUGGGAAACUGCCUGAUGGAGGGGGAUAACUACUGGAAACGGUAGCUAAUACCGCAUAAUGUCGCAAGACCAAAGUGGGGGACCUUCGGGCCUCAUGCCAUCAGAUGUGCCCAGAUGGGAUUAGCUAGUAGGUGGGGUAACGGCUCACCUAGGCGACGAUCCCUAGCUGGUCUGAGAGGAUGACCAGCCACACUGGAACUGAGACACGGUCCAGACUCCUACGGGAGGCAGCAGUGGGGAAUAUUGCACAAUGGGCGCAAGCCUGAUGCAGCCAUGCCGCGUGUGUGAAGAAGGCCUUCGGGUUGUAAAGCACUUUCAGCGGGGAGGAAGGCGUUAAGGUUAAUAACCUCAUCGAUUGACGUUACCCGCAGAAGAAGCACCGGCUAACUCCGUGCCAGCAGCCGCGGUAAUACGGAGGGUGCAAGCGUUAAUCGGAAUUACUGGGCGUAAAGCGCACGCAGGCGGUCUGUCAAGUCGGAUGUGAAAUCCCCGGGCUCAACCUGGGAACUGCAUUCGAAACUGGCAGGCUAGAGUCUUGUAGAGGGGGGUAGAAUUCCAGGUGUAGCGGUGAAAUGCGUAGAGAUCUGGAGGAAUACCGGUGGCGAAGGCGGCCCCCUGGACAAAGACUGACGCUCAGGUGCGAAAGCGUGGGGAGCAAACAGGAUUAGAUACCCUGGUAGUCCACGCCGUAAACGAUGUCGAUUUGGAGGUUGUGCCCUUGAGGCGUGGCUUCCGGAGCUAACGCGUUAAAUCGACCGCCUGGGGAGUACGGCCGCAAGGUUAAAACUCAAAUGAAUUGACGGGGGCCCGCACAAGCGGUGGAGCAUGUGGUUUAAUUCGAUGCAACGCGAAGAACCUUACCUGGUCUUGACAUCCACAGAACUUUCCAGAGAUGGAUUGGUGCCUUCGGGAACUGUGAGACAGGUGCUGCAUGGCUGUCGUCAGCUCGUGUUGUGAAAUGUUGGGUUAAGUCCCGCAACGAGCGCAACCCUUAUCCUUUGUUGCCAGCGGUCCGGCCGGGAACUCAAAGGAGACUGCCAGUGAUAAACUGGAGGAAGGUGGGGAUGACGUCAAGUCAUCAUGGCCCUUACGACCAGGGCUACACACGUGCUACAAUGGCAUAUACAAAGAGAAGCGACCUCGCGAGAGCAAGCGGACCUCAUAAAGUAUGUCGUAGUCCGGAUUGGAGUCUGCAACUCGACUCCAUGAAGUCGGAAUCGCUAGUAAUCGUAGAUCAGAAUGCUACGGUGAAUACGUUCCCGGGCCUUGUACACACCGCCCGUCACACCAUGGGAGUGGGUUGCAAAAGAAGUAGGUAGCUUAACCUUCGGGAGGGCGCUUACCACUUUGUGAUUCAUGACUGGGGUGAAGUCGUAACAAGGUAACCGUAGGGGAACCUGCGGUUG